Molecule: ribosomal RNA, 492 nt
Filed under: uncultured bacterium
Lineage: Bacteria
Description: partial 16S ribosomal RNA
Rfam family: Bacterial small subunit ribosomal RNA
Source: RNAcentral
GAUGAACGCUAGCUACAGGCUUAACACAUGCAAGUCGAGGGGAAACGACAUCGAAAGCUUGCUUUUGAUGGGCGUCGACCGGCGCACGGGUGAGUAACGCGUAUCCAACCUGCCCACCACUUGGGGAUAACCUUGCGAAAGUAAGACUAAUACCCAAUGAUAUCCCACGAAGACAUCUGAAUGGGAUUAAAGAUUUAUCGGUGAUGGAUGGGGAUGCGUCUGAUUAGCUUGUUGGCGGGGUAACGGCCCACCAAGGCAACGAUCAGUAGGGGUUCUGAGAGGAAGGUCCCCCACAUUGGAACUGAGACACGGUCCAAACUCCUACGGGAGGCAGCAGUGAGGAAUAGUGGUCAAUGGGCGAGAGCCUGAACCAGCCAAGUAGCGUGCAGGAAGACGGCCCUAUGGGUUGUAAACUGCUUUUAUAAGGGAAUAAAGUGGGUCACGUGUGACUUUUUGCAUGUACCUUAUGAAUAAGGACCGGCUAAUUCCGUG